This 403-nucleotide ribosomal RNA is filed under the name uncultured bacterium. RNAcentral describes it as "partial 16S ribosomal RNA". It matches the Rfam family "Bacterial small subunit ribosomal RNA", at positions 30 to 526 of the family's 1533-position model. The record is from RNAcentral.
AUUGAACGCUGGCGGCAGGCCUAACACAUGCAAGUCGAGCGAGCGGCGGACGGGUGAGUAAUGUCUGGGGACUGCCCGAUAGAGGGGGAUAACUACUGGACACGGUAGCUAAUACCGCAUACUAUCGGAAAACCCAUAUGGGAUUAGCUAGUAGGUGAGGUAAUGGCUCACCUAGGCGACGAUCCCUAGCUGGUCUGAGAGGCUGAUCAGCCACACGGGGACGGAGACACGGCCCAGACUCCUACGGAGGCAGCAGUGGGGAAUAUUGGACAAUGGGCGCAAGCCUGAUGCAGCCAUGCCGCGUGUGUGAAGAAGGCCCUAGGGUGGUAAAGUACUUUAAGUCGGGAGGCGUUACCGACAGAAGAAGCACCGACUAACUCCGUGCCAGCAGCCGCGGUAAUUC